GAAUUCCCUCAUAAUUAAGCAUUCAUUUUUUUACAGGGCUCUCCUAAGCACACAAGGAACACGCUUCAGAGCAGAGGACUAGACACACAGGGAGGCAUUUUAAUCCCUCAAAGGUUGACUCUGCUGCUCCCUUCCUGCCUCCUGCAUGUGACAACCUGUGGACUCCUGGACUUCUCCCCCUGCCUGAUGGCACCACCUACCCCUGCCCUCAGCAGGAUUUUGGCGUGGCUGAGCCCAGCUCUGAGGCAGGUCUAUUCUACAUGGAUCUGGUGAACUCCAUACAAAGAACCACCACUUACAUGAAAAAACACAGGAGGAAAAAAGGCUUAUAAUCCCA
This 337-nucleotide long non-coding RNA is filed under the name Chloebia gouldiae (Gouldian finch). RNAcentral's name for it is "Erythrura gouldiae (Gouldian finch) lncRNA (ENSEGOG00005004726.1)". The record is from RNAcentral. Lineage: Eukaryota; Metazoa; Chordata; Aves; Passeriformes; Passeridae.